UCAUCACCUAAUAGUGGGUUUUAUUAGUUGCGCCAAAAUCGGGUCUAAAAUCGGGUGGAAAAUCGGGUCACCCCACCCUAUUUUGCCAUACGAUUUUAGACCCGAUUUUGCAACUAAACCCCGUUUCGAAAUUCGGGUCUAAAAUCGGGUGGGGUCUCCUUCGGUCGUUUGAAAGGGGUACCCGCGGGCGUUCGCGCGCUGCUGGAGUCGCGGGAGCGUCACAAACGCCGACGUCGUCCGCAAAGAAUUUACUCGAAACACCACGAUGCGUCGACCCAUUCAAAAACAUUGCACCGCUCGCUGUGAUGAUCACGACGUAAUCAGCGCUCGAACAGGGCCGGACGCAACUUUCAACAAAAAAAGUUCUCCUCUCUCAUCAUUGACGAUUUAAACGCGACGAUUUAAACCGUCAUUUCAGGUUUCGUACCCACCCGAUUUUAGACCCGAUUUUGACCCACCCGGUUUUAAAAUCGGGUGGGUUCACCCGAAUUCGGGUGGGUCGUUGCAAAAUCGGGUCUAAAAUCGGGUGGGGUGACCCGAUUUUCCACCCGAUUUUAGACCCGAUUUUGCUACUAAAACCCUCUAAUAACGACUGAGUCUGAUAAAACGAUUAUAUACUACGCAAUCCUAACCGGCGCGUGCCUCGUUCUCCUCCUUCAGGCUGCGCAUCCUCUCGAAGUUCGCGUCGUCCGGCGCGAUGAACUCGCUCACGACGCCCCACCCCGACGUGAUCUUCGUCGCCGCGACGACGAAGUCCACGCCGCGCCGCAUCGCGACCGAGUCGGACGCGAACCGAAGGCAGCUCACCU
Molecule: long non-coding RNA, 809 nt
Filed under: Micromonas pusilla
Lineage: Eukaryota; Viridiplantae; Chlorophyta; Mamiellophyceae; Mamiellales; Mamiellaceae
Description: long non-coding RNA (MPUS_LNC000137)
Source: RNAcentral